GACAGAGGCCACAAGCGUUAGGCGGAAUCACUGGGCUUAAAGCGUGUGUAGGCGGGCCGUUAAGUGCUUUGUGAAAUCCCAUGGCUCAACCAUGGAAUUGCUUGGCAUACUGGCGGUCUUGAGCCACCUAGGGGCAACUGGAACAAACGGUGGAGCGGUGAAAUGCGUAGAUAUCGUUUGGAACGCCAAAGGUGAAAACAGGUUGCUGGGGGUGUGCUGACGCUGAGACACGAAAGCCAGGGGAGCAAACGGG
This 253-nucleotide ribosomal RNA is filed under the name uncultured bacterium. Its description in RNAcentral is "partial 16S ribosomal RNA". It matches the Rfam family "Bacterial small subunit ribosomal RNA", at positions 524 to 776 of the family's 1533-position model. The record is from RNAcentral.